AUCAAAGCCAUUUUAUUAGAAAAGUCAAGGAGAUAAACAGCCAGCAAGACAAUUCGUGCUCUUAAAAUAGAGCACUACAACAGUUCGGUGAAUUUUUCAGAUUAGCAUCUAGGAGUUGGCACGCCACAGAUGUUAGCAACCCUUCUGGCAUUGGGAGAGUUAACAUACUGACUCAGGCUUGGAUUUUUUAUAUACCCACAAAGGCAAGGCUCCUGCUCCUUCAGCUUUCUGCAGCAAGUAUCUGAUGGAGGCAGCGACAUCAUUAUUGCCCCCGCGCACGAGCUCAGCUCUAGCGGGCUGCAAUUGACCGCCUCCGUCACUUGUAAUUUUCCAACAAACAGAACCACCACUGCCAAGCACAAUGCAAAGCUCAUUGCUGUCUUCAUCUUCAAAGUGGGCAAUGAUAUAAAGAAUUAAUCCAAGAAAGUUACGCGAUUGUUGUAUUUUGGAAUGAAGAGAUGUCCUGCAAUUUAUAGAAACCAGGGUCUGAUUACCAAGAUGAGUCGACUAGUGAGCAUAGGGAAAGGUCCAAAUUGAGAAAAGAUGUUGGAAGCAACACCAACG
RNAcentral lists this long non-coding RNA (564 nucleotides) under Olea europaea subsp. europaea. The record is from RNAcentral. Lineage: Eukaryota; Viridiplantae; Streptophyta; Magnoliopsida; Lamiales; Oleaceae.